Molecule: ribosomal RNA, 496 nt
Filed under: uncultured bacterium
Lineage: Bacteria
Description: partial 16S ribosomal RNA
Rfam family: Bacterial small subunit ribosomal RNA
Source: RNAcentral
GAUGAACGCUGGCGGCGUGCCUAAUACAUGCAAGUCGAGCGAACAGACGAGGAGCUUGCUCCUCUGACGUUAGCGGCGGACGGGUGAGUAACACGUGGAUAACCUACCUAUAAGACUGGGAUAACUUCGGGAAACCGGAGCUAAUACCGGAUAAUAUAUUGAACCGCAUGGUUCAAUAGUGAAAGACGGUUUUGCUGUCACUUAUAGAUGGAUCCGCGCCGCAUUAGCUAGUUGGUAAGGUAACGGCUUACCAAGGCGACGAUGCGUAGCCGACCUGAGAGGGUGAUCGGCCACACUGGAACUGAGAAACGGUCCAGACUCCUACGGGAGGCAGCAGUAGGGAAUCUUCCGCAAUGGGCGAAAGCCUGACGGAGCAACGCCGCGUGAGUGAUGAAGGUCUUCGGAUCGUAAAACUCUGUUAUUAGGGAAGAACAAAUGUGUAAGUAACCAUGCACGUCUUGACGGUACCUAAUCAGAAAGCCACGGCUAACUACGU